This 58-nucleotide transfer RNA is filed under the name Canis lupus familiaris (dog). It matches the Rfam family "tRNA", at positions 8 to 63 of the family's 71-position model. Rfam says of the family: Transfer RNA (tRNA) molecules are approximately 80 nucleotides in length. Their secondary structure includes four short double-helical elements and three loops (D, anti-codon, and T loops). The record is from Rfam by way of RNAcentral. RNAcentral also lists the same sequence under 1 other name. Lineage: Eukaryota; Metazoa; Chordata; Mammalia; Carnivora; Canidae.
UGGCUCACUUGGUGGAGCAUGAGACUCUUGAUCUCAGGGUGGUGAGUUCAAGCCUCAC